GGGUGCGAUCAUACGAGCACUAAUGAACUGGAUCCCAUCAGAACUUCGAAGUUAAGCGUGCUUGGGCGAGAUUAGUAUUAGGAUGGGUGACCUCCUGGGUAGUCCUCGUGUUGCACCCC
This 119-nucleotide ribosomal RNA is filed under the name Nelumbo nucifera (sacred lotus). Lineage: Eukaryota; Viridiplantae; Streptophyta; Magnoliopsida; Proteales; Nelumbonaceae. The record is from RNAcentral.